UCAUGUGGAAGGGACAGUGGGACCGGAUGCGGUAUAGAUGCAGAUUUACACCCUCCAAUGAAGUUGUGAAACGUGUUAGGUAGCCGAAUCUCAUUCUCUAAAAAUACUCUUAAGCUAGGUGGGUAUAAACUCAUUUUUACACCUAUCAAUAACCAUUGGUCACAUACGAGGUGUAACCUUCAAACACCUACAUCUGACUUUUUAGAAUCCUUUUUUUCUCCUUUUAUUCGCAACCCCAGCCUCCUCUAUGAGCUUUCUUCUCUUCCAAGUCCCCUUUUAUUUAUCUAACUUGAUUGGAUCUUCAUUCUCUCUCGCUCUCUCGUUCAAUCUCGUGAUUCAUUAAUGGGAGAAGGGAAGUUACCAUCUCAUCUCAUAUAAACUUUCCGAUCACUCAUUGACCUUCAAAGUCGAUGGUUCGCAAGAUUUGGAUUCAAUGCAAGUUUAGGGGUUGUUGAUCUGGAGCAUCAUAGUUUGUGGUGUUCUCAUUUUAUUUUUUUAGCAAUCAACCCCGUCAGUUAGGGUUUCAACAUAAUCUGCAAAUAUGUUUCAGGACAACAAUUAUAAGCUAUUUCUUUCUCUAUU
This is a long non-coding RNA of Carya illinoinensis, 582 nucleotides long. RefSeq lists it as uncharacterized. NCBI's taxonomy places the organism in Eukaryota, Viridiplantae, Streptophyta, Magnoliopsida, Fagales, Juglandaceae. The record is from RefSeq and is a predicted model, not a curated record. The transcript has 2 exons.